UUAGGCAUGAUUGGGACUGUAAUGAUGAUUGAAAUCUGUUGUGGUAGUGUUUGGAAGAAAAUCAAGUCAUUUAAAGCCACUUUUAAGCCAUUUUAAGGGAAGUGAGGUAGUGAUUUUGAGUAUAUGGGGUUUGCUGUGCUUGUGGACUGCUGGGACAGUUUCACUAAGUGUAUUGUGACUUGUUUGAGUCACCAAAUUUACCAAAAUAGAUGCAGAAUGGUAAGAUUGGGUUUUGGGUCCCUAAGUUGGGAAAUUGAGUGUUUAGAGUUGAAACGAAGCUUAAAUCACCUUAGAAACGUGUUAGUAAUGUUUAGAAUCACUUAGGUAAGUUUAGUUAUGUCUAAAACGAAGAUUAGAGGUGUUAGAAGUUGGUUAAAAUGGUUAAAAAUGGUCUUAGCAUGUUCUGUUGAAUUCUGCAGAAUUCUGCAGAAUUCUGCAGAGUCUUGGUCGUCCGGUUUUGUAGGCCU
This 467-nucleotide long non-coding RNA is filed under the name Vigna radiata. Its description in RNAcentral is "long non-coding RNA (VRAD_LNC001159)". Lineage: Eukaryota; Viridiplantae; Streptophyta; Magnoliopsida; Fabales; Fabaceae. The record is from RNAcentral.